Megalobrama amblycephala (Wuchang bream) is the source of this 1025-nucleotide long non-coding RNA. RefSeq lists it as uncharacterized. The record is from RefSeq and is a predicted model, not a curated record. The transcript is spliced from 2 exons. Lineage: Eukaryota; Metazoa; Chordata; Actinopteri; Cypriniformes; Xenocyprididae.
UGUGAUGUGAUCUGCGAAAACCUAUUGUCACGGGGUGACUAAAUUAGUAGUAAUGAGUAGUAGAUUGAAUGGGGAAAGUAGAAUAUUAAGAAAGUAAAUGUCAUUGGCUCUGGGAAGUUGGGGGCGGGGUUGGGUUGUUUGUUUCUGUCUUUUUAAGGUGGAGGUUGGAAAAGGAAAGGGGAGCCCCGGCUAUCAGACGGAUGUGAAUUGAGUGACGAACUGAAACGGCGGAUAGUGAGUGCCACAUGUGAGAAGGGAAUUACUUCAUUGGACCUGUGAGAAGGUGGGACGGAAGCCGGAGAGACACCGCGGAAGUGGCGUGAGAGACGGGUGCCUCGUGUGGGGAACGCCAAGUCCGAGUGGAUGCGCCGGCGGUCUCUGGAAGGAUCCCCGAAGGCGAGGAGAGUAAAGGACUGACACUUAUAACGUCGCAACUGUGGAAGGCCGACCCGAUGUUUUAAGUCAAGGACUGCAUUUUGAACUCUGAACUGAGCCCAAUAUUUUAAAUGCUUCUGAAGUGAGUUUUUUUAAUUUAUUAUUAUCAUAGGAGUUAAUUUGCUGUGAUCAUUGUAUUUCUGUUAUUAUUUGUGUUUUAUUAUUGUCUGAUUGGACUACAUUCAUUUUGAAGCCUGAUAGUGACCAGAGUAGCGCUUAAUUACAUCCUGAGGUGGGGAAGUAUGAGUACAUAGUGUUGAGUGUGUCAUAUAGAUAUAUUGAUUCACAGUUGCACUUGAAGUGAUUAUUUGAUUUUUGGGGUGUUUGUAAUUUUUUUGUUGUUGUUUGUUUUGCGUGUGGGUUUGAGUACCUGAUUCCCCUAUCAGAAGCUUUUGUCCAGGCUGAUGGUUAAAUGUAGCCAAAUAAUUGAGGGAACUGUUGCAUAUUUAUAAGUGCAUACUCUUUUUAGGAUUUUUUUCCCUCAUUAUUAUUUUUCUUUUGUUUAGAUACAUUUUUAAAUACUUUUUUUUUUAUUAAUUUUCAAUUUUGUCUUUUAUAAUUCAUUGUGAAAUAAAGAUAAUUGUGAUUAA